This 113-nucleotide unclassified non-coding RNA is filed under the name Candidatus Kentrum sp. SD. Its description in RNAcentral is "Candidatus Kentron sp. SD Alpha operon ribosome binding site". Lineage: Bacteria; Pseudomonadati; Pseudomonadota; Gammaproteobacteria. The record is from RNAcentral.
AGAUAUUCAUGUUUCGUAUUGUGGUUGGACAGCUGGAUGUCCGAACAUUGAUGGGGAGAAGGUUAGAGGGCUGAAUUAAGAUGGCACGAAUCGCAGGUGUUAAUAUUCCGGAU